Molecule: ribosomal RNA, 253 nt
Filed under: uncultured bacterium
Lineage: Bacteria
Description: partial 16S ribosomal RNA
Rfam family: Bacterial small subunit ribosomal RNA
Source: RNAcentral
UACGGGGGGGGCAAGCGUUGUUCGGAAUUACUGGGCGUAAAGGGCUCGUAGGCGGCCAACUAAGUCAGACGUGAAAUCCCUCGGCUUAACCGGGGAACUGCGUCUGAUACUGGAGAUCUCGAGUCCGGAAGAGGUGAGUGGAACUCCGAGUGUAGAGGUGAAAUUCGUAGAUAUUGGGUGGAACACCGGUGGCGAAAGCGGCUCUCUGGUCCGGACCUGACGCUGAGGCGCGAAAGCGUGGGGAGCAAACAGG